RNAcentral lists this ribosomal RNA (643 nucleotides) under uncultured bacterium. RNAcentral's name for it is "bacterial SSU rRNA". It matches the Rfam family "Bacterial small subunit ribosomal RNA", at positions 232 to 885 of the family's 1533-position model. The record is from RNAcentral.
CGCGGCCUAUCAGCUUGUUGGUGAGGUAACGGCUCACCAAGGCUUCGACGGGUAGCCGGCCUGAGAGGGCGACCGGCCACACUGGGACUGAGAUACGGCCCAGACUCCUACGGGGGCAGCAGUGGGGAAUAUUGCGCAAUGGGCGAAAGCCUGACGCAGCAACGCCGCGUGCGGGAUGACGGCCUUCGGGUUGUAAACCGCUUUCAGCAGGGACGAAGCAACACGUGACGGUACCUGCAGAAGAAGCACCGGCCAACUACGUGCCAGCAGCCGCGGUGAUACGUAGGGUGCGAGCGUUGUCCGGAAUUAUUGGGCGUAAAGAGCUUGUAGGCGGUCUAUUGCGUCGAAAGUGAAAACUCAGGGCUCAACCCUGAGCCUGCUCUCGAUACGGGUAGACUUGAGGGAUGUAGGGGAGAACGGAAUUCUUGGUGGAGCGGUGGAAUGCGCAGAUAUCAGGAGGAACACCGGUGGCGAAGGCGGUUCUCUGGACAUUUCCUGACGCUGAGAAGCGAAAGCGUGGGUAGCAAACAGGCUUAGAUACCCUGGUAGUCCACGCCGUAAACGGUGGGUACUAGGUGUGGGGGACAUUCCACGUUCUCCGUGCCGCAGCUAACGCAUUAAGUACCCCGCCUGGGGAGUACGG